AGAUUGAACGCUGACGGCGUGCCUAACACAUGCAAGUCGAGCGGUAACAGGUGUAGCAAUACAUGCUGACGAGCGGCGAACGGGUGAGUAAUGCUUCGGAAUCUACCCACGGGUGGGAAUAACCAACCGAAAGGUUGGCUAAUACCGCAUAAGUCCUACGGGGAAAGACGGGGAGUCGAAGACUCGCGCCGGUGGAUGAGCCGAAGCCGGAUUAGCUAGUUGGUAGGGUAAGUGGCCGUACCAAGGCGACGAUCCGUAGCUGGUCUGAGAGGACGACCAGCCACACUGGGACUGAGACACGGCCCACGACUCCUACGGGAGGCAGC
RNAcentral lists this ribosomal RNA (326 nucleotides) under uncultured prokaryote. Its description in RNAcentral is "bacterial SSU rRNA". It matches the Rfam family "Bacterial small subunit ribosomal RNA", at positions 26 to 352 of the family's 1533-position model. The record is from RNAcentral.